UACGAAGGGGGCUAGCGUUGCUCGGAAUCACUGGGCGUAAAGCGCACGUAGGCGGAUUGUUAAGUCAGGGGGUGAAAUCCUGGAGCUCAACUCCAGAACUGCCUUUGAUACUGAAGAUCUUGAGUUCGGGAGAGGUGAGUGGAACUGCGAGUGUAGAGGUGAAAUUCGUAGAUAUUCGCAAGAACACCAGUGGCGAAGGCGGCUCACUGGCCCGAUACUGACGCUGAGGCACGAAAGCGUGGGGAGCAAACAGG
Molecule: ribosomal RNA, 254 nt
Filed under: uncultured bacterium
Lineage: Bacteria
Description: partial 16S ribosomal RNA
Rfam family: Bacterial small subunit ribosomal RNA
Source: RNAcentral